AUACGGAGGAUGCGAGCGUUAUCCGGAUUUAUUGGGUUUAAAGGGUGCGCAGGCGGGCGAUUAAGUCAGCGGUGAAAGGCUCGGGCUCAACCGGAGCAGUGCCGUUGAUACUGGUUGUCUUGAAUGCGGUCAAGGCCGGCGGAAUGUGGCGUGUAGCGGUGAAAUGCAUAGAUAUGCCACAGAACACCGAUAGCGAAGGCAGCUGGCCGGGCCUGCAUUGACGCUGAGGCACGAAAGCGUGGGGAUCGAACAGGAUUAGAUACCCUGGUAGUCCACGCUGUAAACGAUGGACACUCGCUGUCGGCGACAGACAGUCGGCGGCCAAGCGAAAGUGAUAAGUGUCCCACCUGGGGAGUACGGUCGCAAGGCUGAAACUCAAAUGAAUUGACGGGG
Molecule: ribosomal RNA, 393 nt
Filed under: uncultured bacterium
Lineage: Bacteria
Description: partial 16S ribosomal RNA
Rfam family: Bacterial small subunit ribosomal RNA
Source: RNAcentral